Molecule: long non-coding RNA, 1698 nt
Filed under: Oryctolagus cuniculus (rabbit)
Lineage: Eukaryota; Metazoa; Chordata; Mammalia; Lagomorpha; Leporidae
Description: lncRNA (ENSOCUG00000032104.1)
Source: RNAcentral
UUUCCCAUCUUCCUGCCUUCUCUGCCUUGGUUUAUUUUAUGGAGGAACCUGACAUAAACUUCGUUAUUUUACUUGGAGGUGACGGGGUGUAUUAUUGAUUGAGAGAGCACCACUGUGCAGUUCCUUGGACCUGUUGCGCAGCAGACAUCAGCUGCCUGAUGUCGCCAAGUAAUUCACUAAUCAACUCCACAUGAGGUGAUAAAUCUUUCCAGCAACAAUCCACCAUCACCCCAGUCGUGAAAAGAAGACCAGAAGCACCACCCUUUCAUCAUCUCCAGGAGCUGACGGACACCGCGAGCUCACUGCCAACAGAGCAGUGCAGGACUUCGGUGCCACUUCCCGAAAAUGGAAGAGGGAGAGCUGUCGCAGGCAUAUAAAUUAAAGGUUGUUUGGAAUUUUUGUAAAGGGCUUGUUCCCAGCCCAGAUCUGGUUCCUCAGCACCAACCUAGAGAAGGGAACAUAAACACUCAGACACCAACACAGAAAGUACUGGAUCCCACGAGAAAUGCAGCCACCUGCUGUGGUCGUUCAUCAUGGAAAGAGUCUCCCCAGUUGGGAGAUCUAGAACAUCUUCCAGGGAGUGCAGUGCCAUAGGGACAUCUUCCCUGGAAGGGGCUUUCUACUUGAGAUGCACGCGUUAGAUAAGAUUUGGACUAGGGGUUGAAGGAAUGACCUAGACUGAAGCUAGCACGUGAUGCAUGUUCUUGCUUUAUUUUCGAGAUUAUGUGCAGUAGCCUCCGAGUAAUUCUGAGCUGCCAGUGGCUGACAACACCAGAUCCUGGGAAGGCGCAGCUCCUCUAGAGCUUCACCAGGGACAGACCCACCUGGCUGCCUGCUGAACAGGUCCUGUUCUGAGUUGAAUUAAACCUUCUAUAAAGCAGUGGUUCUUGAAAUGUAGCUGUUGGAUGGACAGCGUCAGCAUCACCUGGGAACUUUUUACAAGAGUGAAUUCUUGAACCCUACCAAACCCAAAGCGGAAACUCGAGGGACGGCGCUCAGCUCCGAGUUUAACAAGUCCGCUGGGUACACUUGCUGCUCUCUAAACUUGGAGAAUCGUGGCAUGAGCCCAUGAUAAUGACACUUUACUUCAGGGGCCGGGAAUUGUUGAUCCAGACCCCUCCUCCCUAUGAAGCCCGGUGGGGUCAUCCAGUUUUCCUUGAGUCUGCGCAGAGGACUCGUGACUGAUUAGUUUCAGGGAGUUUUGAUAGUUACUCUUACAGAUCAGCUGCCUGCUGCCUUAACUGACACAACCACAAGACACAACGAUUCAGUAGGCUUGCACUGUGGAAAUGAUCAUUCUUUAGCUGCUCAGCUGAGACCCUAAGAUCUCCAAACUCAAAGUACCACAGUGUGAGGGGAGGGAGGAGCCAGCCAGCGGAUGCCUAGGUGAAUUUGGCACAUGAGUCCGUUUCCGAACAGUUGGGUGUGUAAACUGUUUGCAGUCUUAUUCCUUCGGGUCAGCUACAAGUUCUUCAUGUGGCUGUGGACUUCCUGGUGGGGUAUAGGUGAGUCUUCAUAAAACUGUUGGAUUCUUGGUAGGGGAUGGUUAGUUAUUCGUGAGGCUGUUGGCUCCCUGGCGGAGUAUAGCUGGUUCUCCAGCAGGCUGAUUUCUUAGUGGGGAACAGUAGGGAGAGCUCUGUAGCUCCUUCAGUCAUGCCAGAGAAUAAAGAAGUUUGUGUGUCUGAAACUUUGUGAACC